CCAUCUAGGAAAUGUAACUCUCAGACAGUUCCAGCAUCCACUGGGCACAAACCACCAAAAGAAAAUAAACAACCUUGGAGCUGCGACACUGGAAAUCCACAGGAAACAGACUCACCCAACGGCAGGUAACUCCUGUAUAUGGUCUGCCUGAGACGGUACCCACCACUACAUCCAUUAUAUUUUUUUAAACCAACCAAACCAUGCCUUGAUGGCCUGAUGGAAGAAGCAGGGCUCAUCAGUCUAACAGCUGUACAAGAGGGAGACCCACAGCUUGCUGCCACCACAUUCCCCAGAAGAGGCUCUUUGGAGGAAAUGAGGAAACUCCAGGUAAUAACAUUCUUGGCUGGAAAAAAUUCCAGUCGUCUGCAUCGCUGGUAUGGAAGCUGAUCUCAGAGGGUGGAAGCAGCUUCCCAAGCUCAUACUUGAGUUGUUCAUGAGGAAAAUCAUAUUUUCCUGUACACCACACCCUCUUUCUCCCAAGCCAAUUCCAGUGGGACAAGUGACAAUGUCACAAUGAAGGACAUGGACUGUGGCUUUGCAGACUUCCCUGUGCAGAUGAUGAGCAGCUCCAUGCGUUCCUAACCACAUGCACUCCCUCCGAGUCUUGAACAGAUACAGGACACACCCCGAGUGCAUCUUGGCCCCUUAUUCCUGUGCCAUCAUGUAGGGGGCCUUGAAUUGAUCAGGAGGACAGGAAGUGACACCAGUUUAGACAGGAGGUCUAUUUCUUCAACAAGAUGCACUGCUCCUUUUAAAUGUCAGAAAAGCAAAGCUAUCCUGAUAAUAUUUAUUCAGCAGACAAAAGAAAGUGAAGCCAGCCUUGCUGAGGGGAAAAAAAAAACAGUUCCACGAAAUCACAGUCAGAUGUCUGGACGUGGCUGCCCAGUGCAGAGCAACCCUGCCUCAGGCUGGGGCCUGAU
RNAcentral lists this long non-coding RNA (920 nucleotides) under Cavia porcellus (domestic guinea pig). RNAcentral's name for it is "lncRNA (ENSCPOG00000032585.1)". Lineage: Eukaryota; Metazoa; Chordata; Mammalia; Rodentia; Caviidae. The record is from RNAcentral.